Molecule: ribosomal RNA, 574 nt
Filed under: uncultured fungus
Lineage: Eukaryota; Fungi
Description: eukaryotic LSU rRNA
Rfam family: 5.8S ribosomal RNA (bases 169-322)
Source: RNAcentral
GUUGUUGCUGGCCUUCACAGGCAUGUGCACGCCCCGAUCGAAACUUCAUACACCUGUGCACAUCUGUAGGGAGGGGGUCAAACCCUUCCCUAUGUUUUACAUACCCCUUAAAGUCUUAGAAUGUCAAUAAUAGCUCGUCGUAAAAAAGCGAGUGAAAAUAAAAAAUACAACUUUCAACAACGAAUCUCUUGGCUCUCGCAUCGAUGAAGAACGCAGCGAAAUGCGAUAAGUAAUGUGAAUUGCAGAAUUCAGUGAAUCAUCGAAUCUUUGAACGCACCUUGCGCUCCUUGGUAUUCCGAGGAGCAUGCCUGUUUGAGUGUCAUUAAAUUAUCAACCUCUCGACUUUAUUGUCGGGAUGGCUUGGACUUGGAGUGUGCUGGCGCAAGUCAGCUCCUCUUAAAUGUAUUAGCAGAAUCUCUAUCCUGCAGUUGGUGUGAUAAUUAUCUACGCCUUCUAAGCUGUGGGAUGUUGAGCGACCGCUUCUAACCGUCCCUUGUGGACAAACCUUUUUUUAAUCUUGACCUCAAAUCAGGUAGGACUACCCGCUGAACUUAAGCAUAUCAAUAAGCGGAGG